This 18-nucleotide ribosomal RNA is filed under the name Colletotrichum siamense. RNAcentral describes it as "partial 28S ribosomal RNA". The record is from RNAcentral. Lineage: Eukaryota; Fungi; Ascomycota; Sordariomycetes; Glomerellales; Glomerellaceae.
UUGACCUCGGAUCAGUUA